UCGGCUCCCGUGGGUUACGCUCUAUACCCUUUGUGACAUACCUAUAACUGUUGCUUCGGCGGGUAGGGUCUCCGCGACCCUCCCGGCCUCCCGCCUCCGGGCGGGUCGGCGCCCGCCGGAGGAUAACCAAACUCUGAUUUAACGACGUUUCUUCUGAGUGGUACAAGCAAAUAAUCAAAACUUUUAACAACGGAUCUCUUGGUUCUGGCAUCGAUGAAGAACGCAGCGAAAUGCGAUAAGUAAUGUGAAUUGCAGAAUUCAGUGAAUCAUCGAAUCUUUGAACGCACAUUGCGCCCGCCAGCAUUCUGGCGGGCAUGCCUGUUCGAGCGUCAUUUCAACCCUCAAGCUCUGCUUGGUGUUGGGGCCCUACAGCUGAUGUAGGCCCUCAAAGGUAGUGGCGGACCCUCCCGGAGCCUCCUUUGCGUAGUAACUUUACGUCUCGCACUGGGAUCCGGAGGGACUCUUGCCGUAAAACCCCCCAAUUUUCCAAAGGUUGACCUCGGAUCAGGUAGGAAUACCCGCUGAACUUAAGCAUAUCAAUAAGCGGAGGAA
This 552-nucleotide ribosomal RNA is filed under the name Colletotrichum fructicola. RNAcentral describes it as "eukaryotic LSU rRNA". The stretch from base 179 to 332 matches the Rfam family "5.8S ribosomal RNA". Lineage: Eukaryota; Fungi; Ascomycota; Sordariomycetes; Glomerellales; Glomerellaceae. The record is from RNAcentral.